GUCUCAACGCGCUCCGGGAGAGCCAGGCUCAUAACCUGGAGGUCGGUGGUUCAAAUCCGCC
RNAcentral lists this transfer RNA (61 nucleotides) under Glycomyces sambucus. RNAcentral describes it as "tRNA_Met_CAT". It matches the Rfam family "tRNA", at positions 9 to 63 of the family's 71-position model. Rfam says of the family: Transfer RNA (tRNA) molecules are approximately 80 nucleotides in length. Their secondary structure includes four short double-helical elements and three loops (D, anti-codon, and T loops). Lineage: Bacteria; Bacillati; Actinomycetota; Actinomycetes; Glycomycetales; Glycomycetaceae. The record is from RNAcentral.